GAUUAACGCUGGCGGCGUGCAUAACACAUUCAAGUCGAACGGAGUAAGUUCCUUCGGGGAUUUACUUAGUGGCGGACGGGUGAGUGACGCGUGAGCAAUCUACCUCCCAGUGCGGAAUAACAACCGGAAACAGUUGCUAAUACCGCAUGAAAUAGCAGAACCGCAUGGUUCAACUAUCAAAGAUUCAUCGCUGGGAGAUGAGCUUGCGUCCGAUUAGGUAGUUGGUGAGGUAACGGCUCACCAAGCCGACGAUCGGUAGCCGGACUGAGAGGUUGAACGGCCACAUUGGAACUGAGAUACGGUCCAG
This 307-nucleotide ribosomal RNA is filed under the name uncultured bacterium. RNAcentral describes it as "bacterial SSU rRNA". It matches the Rfam family "Bacterial small subunit ribosomal RNA", at positions 28 to 334 of the family's 1533-position model. The record is from RNAcentral.